AAGCAGAUCGGCGGCCGCGGGGAGGUUCGGGGCGGCGCAGCCCCGCGCGGUUGUGGGAUCGCUCCCGGGGGCCGCUCCUCUCUCGGGCACUGGGGUCGCGGGAGACGUCGUCGGGAGCUCGGUUUCUGGAGGCCCUUCCCCACCCGGCCUCUGCCUCCUCCACUCCCCCGGGCUGGACGGAACGGGGCCCAGCGCGGGAUGCGAGGUGCGUCCCCGGGGCCCGCAGCGGGCGGGAGCGCAGCCAGGGCCCGGUCGGGGACGCAGGCCCAGGGCGCUGAGGCUGCACCUGCCUCUCCGAAACCGGGCUGGCUCUUUUUGUCUUUUUAUUUUUCUAAUUUAUUUUUUUAGAGGUAUGAUUUCGCUCUGUCGCCCAGGCUGGAGGGCAGUGGCGCAAUCUCGGCUCACUGCAGCCUCGAACUCCUAGGCUGAAGCGAUUCUCCCGCCUCAGCCUCCAAAGUAGCCGGUACUACAGGCGCGCGCCACCACGCCUGGCUAAGGGUCUUACUAUGUCACCCAGACUGAAGUGCAGUGGCAUGAUCACAGGUCAUUGCAUCCUCAACCACCCAGACUCAAGCAAUCCUCCUGUCUCAGCCUUCCAAGUAACUGAGACCACAGACAAAGCCUCACUCUGUCACCCAGACUGGAGUGCAGUGGUAUAAUCAUAGCUCACUACAGCCUUGACCUCCUGAGCUCAAGCAGUCCUCCUGUCUCAGCCUCCCAAGUAGCUGGGAUGACAGUGUGCACCACCACACCCAGCUAAUUUUUUUUUUUUUGGUCUUGCUGUGUUGCCCGGGCUGGACUCAAGUGAUCUUCCCUUCUCAGCCUCUCAAAGUGCUGGAAUUACAGGCAUGAGCCACCGUGCCCAGCCAGAGAAAUAACCAUGGAUAUGGGUAGAGACAGAGCCAUAUGGAAUGCACACUGCAGUGGUGAACACAUGGCCCAGCUCUGCCAUCAAGGAGAAGGAACAUGAAUGGAGCUGGAGGCCAUCAUCCUUAGUGAACUAACACAGGAGCAGAAAACCAAAUACCACAUGUUCUCAUGUGUAAGUGGGAGCUAAAUGAUGAGAACACAUGGACACAAAGAGGGGAACAACAGACACUGAAGCCUCCUUGAGGGAGGAGGGUAAGAGGAAGGAGAAGAUCAGAAAAGAUAACUACCAGGUACUAUGGUAGCUUAGUACCUGGGUGAUGAAAUAAUCUGUACACCCAACCCUCAUGACAGAAGUUUACCUGUGUAACAAACCUGCACAUGUAUCCCUGAAACUAAAAGUUUUUUAAAAAGUUAUUUAAUAUAUAUAUAUUUUUUUGAGACGGAGUUUUGCUCUUGUUGCCCAGGCUGGAGUGCGGUGGCGCAAUUUCGGCUCACCACAACCUCCGCCUCCCAGGUUCAAGCUAUUCCCCUGCCUCAGCCUCCCUAGUAGCUGGGAUUACAGGCUUGUGCCACCACGCCGGCUAAUUUUGUAUUUUUUGUAGAGACGGGGUUUCUCCAUGUUGGUCAGGCUGGUCUCGAACUCCCGACCUCAGGUGAUCCACCCCCCUCGGCCUCCCAAAGUGCUAGGAUUACAGGCAUGAGCCACUGCGCCCGGCAAAAAGUUAUUUAAUAUUAAUGGGACAAUACUCAUUGCAAGAAUCAGACUUCAAUUGCUAGCAUAAGUAAAUGACAGGCAGGAGAUAUUGAAAAUGCAAUCUUAUAGACAUUCAAGGAGAGGACGCAGGACAUUUCUGUGUCAUAAAUGUACUAUGGAAAAUAAAAAUGAGAAAAAUGGAAAUAAAAUACAAGAAAAGGUUAUGAUAAAUUUCAUAUUAUUUUACCACAAUAAAAAAAUUUUAAUAAAUUAUAAAUGGUGUGAUAUGUUUUGCCUGUGUUCCACCCAAAUCUCAUCUUGAAUUAGAGCUCCCACAAUUCCCACGUGUUGUGGCUGGGACCCUGUGGGAGAUAAUUGAAUCAUGGGGGCAGUUUACCCCAUACUGUUCUCUUGGUGGUGAAUAAGUCUCAUGAGAGUUGAUGGUUUGAUAAGGGGUUUCCCCUUUUGCUUGGCUCUCAUUCUCUCUUGACUGCCACCAUGUAAGAUGUGCCUUUUGCCUUCCACCAUGAUUGUGAAGCCUCCCAGCCACAUGGAACUGUGAGUCCAUUAAACCUUUUUCUUUACAAAUUA
Molecule: long non-coding RNA, 2155 nt
Filed under: Homo sapiens (human)
Lineage: Eukaryota; Metazoa; Chordata; Mammalia; Primates; Hominidae
Description: CCNY antisense RNA 1, transcript variant 6 (CCNY-AS1)
Source: RNAcentral